GGGGGGCACAGUAGGGAAUCUUCCACAAUGGGCGCAAGCCUGAUGGAGCAACACCGCGUGAGUGAAGAAGGGUUUCGGCUCGUAAAGCUCUGUUGUUGGAGAAGAACGUGCGUGAGAGUAACUGUUCACGCAGUGACGGUAUCCAACCAGAAAGUCACGGCUAACUACGUGCCAGCAGCCGCGGUAAUACGUAGGUGGCAAGCGUUAUCCGGAUUUAUUGGGCGUAAAGCGAGCGCAGGCGGUUGCUUAGGUCUGAUGUGAAAGCCUUCGGCUUAACCGAAGAAGUGCAUCGGAAACCGGGCGACUUGAGUGCAGAAGAGGACAGUGGAACUCCAUGUGUAGCGGUGGAAUGCGUAGAUAUAUGGAAGAACACCAGUGGCGAAGGCGGCUGUCUGGUCUGCAACUGACGCUGAGGCUCGAAAGCAUGGGUAGCGAACAGGAUUAGAUACCCUGGUAGUCCAUGCCGUAAACGAUGAGUGCUAGGUGUUGGAGGGUUUCCGCCCUUCAGUGCCGGAGCUAACGCAUAAGCACUCCGCCUGGGAAGAACGACC
RNAcentral lists this ribosomal RNA (551 nucleotides) under Limosilactobacillus reuteri. RNAcentral describes it as "bacterial SSU rRNA". It matches the Rfam family "Bacterial small subunit ribosomal RNA", at positions 343 to 887 of the family's 1533-position model. The record is from RNAcentral. Lineage: Bacteria; Bacillati; Bacillota; Bacilli; Lactobacillales; Lactobacillaceae.